This 550-nucleotide ribosomal RNA is filed under the name uncultured bacterium. Its description in RNAcentral is "bacterial SSU rRNA". It matches the Rfam family "Bacterial small subunit ribosomal RNA", at positions 355 to 896 of the family's 1533-position model. The record is from RNAcentral.
UGGGGAAUCUUCCACAAUGGACGAAAGUCUGACGGAGCAACGCCGCGUGAGUGAUGACGGCCUUCGGGUUGUAAAGCUCUGUUAAUCGGGACGAAUGGUUCUUGUGCGAAUAGUGCGAGGAUUUGACGGUACCGGAAUAGAAAGCCACGGCUAACUACGUGCCAGCAGCCGCGGUAAUACGUAGGUGGCAAGCGUUGUCCGGAAUUAUUGGGCGUAAAGCGCGCGCAGGCGGAUUGGUCAGUCUGUCUUAAAAGUUCGGGGCUUAACCCCGUGAUGGGAUGGAAACUGCCAAUCUAGAGUAUCGGAGAGGAAAGUGGAAUUCCUAGUGUAGCGGUGAAAUGCGUAGAUAUUAGGAAGAACACCAGUGGCGAAGGCGACUUUCUGGACGAAAACUGACGCUGAGGCGCGAAAGCCAGGGGAGCGAACGGGAUUAGAUACCCCGGUAGUCCUGGCCGUAAACGAUGGGUACUAGGUGUAGGAGGUAUCGACCCCUUCUGUGCCGGAGUUAACGCAAUAAGUACCCCGCCUGGGGAGUACGACCGCAAGGUUG